Kogia breviceps (pygmy sperm whale) is the source of this 73-nucleotide non-coding RNA. The record is from the annotation of a RefSeq genome assembly. Lineage: Eukaryota; Metazoa; Chordata; Mammalia; Artiodactyla; Physeteridae.
UCCCUGGUGGUCCAGUGGUUAGGACCCUGCACUUUCACUGCUGAGGGCCUGGGUUCGAUCCCCAGUCGGGGAA